CGCCAGACUCCUACGGGAGGCAGCAGUGGGGAAUAUUGCACAAUGGGGGAAACCCUGAUGCAGCGACGCCGCGUGAGUGAGGAAGUAUUUCGGUAUGUAAAGCUCUAUCAGCAGGGAAGAAAAUGACGGUACCUGAGUAAGAAGCCCCGGCUAACUACGUGCCAGCAGCCGCGGUAAUACGGAGGAUGCGAGCGUUAUCCGGAUUCACUGGGUGUAAAGGGAGCGUAGACGGCCAUGCAAGCCUGGAGUGAAAGCCCGGGGCCCAACCCCGGGACUGCUCUGGGAACUGUGCGGCUGGAGUGCGGGAGGGGCAGGCGGAAUUCCUGGUGUAGCGGUGAAAUGCGUAGAUAUCAGGAGGAACACCGGCGGCGAAGGCGGCCUGCUGGACCGCGACUGACGUUGAGGCUCGAAAGCGUGGGGAGCAAACAGGAUUAGAUACCCCUGUAGUU
This 449-nucleotide ribosomal RNA is filed under the name uncultured bacterium. Its description in RNAcentral is "bacterial SSU rRNA". It matches the Rfam family "Bacterial small subunit ribosomal RNA", at positions 329 to 795 of the family's 1533-position model. The record is from RNAcentral.